GACGAACGCUGGCGGCGCGCUUAACACAUGCAAGUCGAGCGAAGCGGCGGACGGGUGAGUAACACGUGAGUAACCUGCCUUAGACAGUGGGAGAGCCUCGGGAAAUCGGGAUUAAUACCAAAUGGUCUAAGAUGGACACGCGUCCCAUUAGCAAGUUGGUCGGGAAAGGCUCACCAAGGCGACGAUGGGUAGCAGGGUUGGAAGGCUCGUCCGCCACAUUGGAGCUGAGAAACGUUCCAGACUCUCCGGGAGGCAGCAGUGGGUAAUAUUGCACAAUGGAGGGAACUCUGAUGGAGCGACGCCUGGUGAACGAAGAAGGCUUUAGAGUCGUAACGUUCUUUUAUCUUGGCUGCGGUACCAUACGAAAAAGCCCCGGCUAACUACGUGCCAGCAGCCGCGGUAAUUC
This 406-nucleotide ribosomal RNA is filed under the name uncultured bacterium. RNAcentral's name for it is "partial 16S ribosomal RNA". It matches the Rfam family "Bacterial small subunit ribosomal RNA", at positions 28 to 526 of the family's 1533-position model. The record is from RNAcentral.